UAAGAGUGACAGAUAAGAGAGGAGGUUUUGGCACUAAGCACCGGGCUGCUUCAGAGACAGCUGUGCCCAAACAGAACACAGCUCCACCGAUCUAAUCCCCUCAGAUAACAGAGCAGUUAUAUUUAAAGAGAGUCAGGGAGGUAGGGGCACCUUGACCUUUGACACUGAAGCCUCAGACGGCAUCAUACAGUCUAUCAUCUGACGCUUAUCUGUUCUGGACCAAACUCUUGCAUCUAUCCAGAAUCACCUGGAGGAUUUGUUGAACAGGUGACGCUGAAGCUCCCUGUCCAGUCCGGGCCUUGACUUUGAGAACCAUUGCUGUGACAGCUGGGAAUAAACAAAAUCAGCCUUGCCCGCGGGGAGCUAAGGCGAAAUGAAGGCCCCGCGAGUUCCAAAGCACCGAAAAUGGGACCGUGCUCUCGUUGGAGGAGUCAAAGAAAAGGCCACCAAACUCGGGGAGCAGGACAGAAGAUACUCUGAGUCCCACUGAAAUUUACACUCCUGAGAAGCCCAAACUCGGCAGCUCCUCCGCUCUGGGCAGAUUCGGAGCCUCUGAGAAGGUGAGACAUUCAACCCCCAAGAUUUUUUUUUUUUUUCCUUAAGACACGCCGUUUGUCCUCCCUUCCCGGGGUGCAAAACACACCCAAAGGCACAAAGUGAAAACAACUGUACGGGAGGAGGAACCGGCUGCCGCCCCCCUUGCAACGCCCCCCGCUCCCCAUGGCGGGACCGUCCGCUAGCCAGCCCUGACCUCCCCGCCAGGUCGAGUUGGCGCUGUCGUCCCCCGUCGCCCUCGCCCUCCCCGCGGCCAGCAGCCAGAGUCACAGCCUCCCGCGCGCAGCCUCCCGGACGCGCCGCCGCCCCCGCGCACUGGCCCCGACUUCGCGCAGGCGCCGCAGCCGGCGCUCCCGGGCAGCUCGGGCAGGGGACGGGGGCGGACGACUCACCCACCGCCGCAGGGGGACUCCCGCGGCCAGCGGGAGCCAGUGGCAGCCCGAGACUGGGCCGGCCGUGCCAGGCGGCCAGCAGGCAGCAGAGGAGCGUGCCCAGCAGCGCCAUCGCGGGCCGCGGCCGAGGGCCUGGGAGCCUCUGCUCGUCCCGCGGCUCCACACGGACGUCGGGUCCGGGGCCGGGGAGGAGGUGGAAGACCUCUUCGGGUGUAGACGCCCAGCGGUCACGUGCGAGGGCAGAUUCCGCAACGAGUCGGUUCACUGGACCUUUCGCAGCUGUUUAAAGAUUAUCUGUAUUUUAGUUUCUUAGCGUCAGUGACUGCCCUGAGGAGGAAUGUGCUUGGGGCCACCUGGCACAGACCAUCUUGCCUAAAUGCCACCUGGCUCUAAGUGCGUGGGGCUUCUCCGCGGAAGUGAUGCAGAAAACCUCGAAGUGUCUUGAUCUGGGCGAGAUGAGCAGAGGUUUUGGAAAGUAUACUGUAUCUCAGAGUGUGGUCCUCGGAACAGCAUUGUCAGCACUACCCGGAAGGUCUAAUUAAAAAUGAACAUUUCCAGGCCCACCCCAGACCUAUUAAGCCACUAGCUCUAUGGGUGAAGUCCAGUCCUUUGCUAAAGCUGUUAGAGCAGGCAGAUAGCUAGAUAUGAGCUGAGAAAGGGGUACACAGACCAAAUGGCACGAAUUGGGCAGAAAGGAGGGGCACAAGCCAAAUGCAGGAAACCACACGUCAUGUAAGCAGUAGGGGUCCCUGGACAGAGAAAGAAAAGCAGGAACCUUUGGACUGACAAGGGGCUACCCACAUCUUUUGGGGUGAAGAGUGGCCUGGAGACCAACAAAGAAAGGUGAGAAAAGUCAGGAAUUUCCAGGGUCCGAAAGUAACCUUUUGCUUAUUAUGCCCUCAUUUCAAUAAAAUUAGCCUUGCAGAUCAGAAGUACCCAUCAUGCACCGAUGCCAUGACCCUUCUGAUCCAGACUAAGGACUAAAUUUCCCUCCUCCCUUUGGGAAGGUGGAGUUGGGAUGAUAAUCAGGGAAUGCAACCCCAAACCCUUCCCUCCCCAAUGAAUAUUCUGCCCAUUCAUUUUUACACCCUAUGUAACUAACUUGCCAAAGAAAACUCAGGGCAGCCACUCACCUGAACCUGCCAGCUCUCCCCUUGAGAGUGUACUGUCCGUCCGUUAAUAAAUUCUUACUUUACUUUUUUAACCACUGA
Long non-coding RNA from Camelus dromedarius (Arabian camel), 2158 nucleotides. RefSeq lists it as uncharacterized. The record is from RefSeq and is a predicted model, not a curated record. The transcript is spliced from 2 exons. Lineage: Eukaryota; Metazoa; Chordata; Mammalia; Artiodactyla; Camelidae.